GACGAACGCUGGCGGCAUGCCUAACACAUGCAAGUCUAGGGGUAGCAAUACCACUGGCGCACGGGUGAGUAACACGUAGGUUAUCUGCCCCCAUCACAGACAUAACCCCGGGAAACCGGGGCUAAUAUCUGAUGAGGUCGCGAGAUCAAAGCUUCGGCGGAUGGGGAUGAGCCUGCGGCUGAUUAGCUAGUUGGUGAGGUAAUGGCUCACCAAGGCGACGAUCAGUAGCUGGUCUGAGAGGACGAACAGCCACACUGGAACUGAGACACGGUCCAGACUCCUACGGGAGGCAGCAGUGAGGAAUAUUGGUCAAUGGGAGCAAUCCUGAACCAGCAAUGCCGCGUGUGGGAUGACAGGGCUUCGCCUUGUAAAACCACUGUCGGACGGGACGAAAGGAGGCCUCGGGGCCUCUGGGACGGUACCGUCAAAGGAAGGGUCGGCUAACUACGUGCCAGCAGCCGCGGUAAU
RNAcentral lists this ribosomal RNA (468 nucleotides) under uncultured bacterium. RNAcentral describes it as "bacterial SSU rRNA". It matches the Rfam family "Bacterial small subunit ribosomal RNA", at positions 28 to 524 of the family's 1533-position model. The record is from RNAcentral.